RNAcentral lists this small nucleolar RNA (89 nucleotides) under Trifolium pratense (red clover). Its description in RNAcentral is "snoRNA Plant_U3". Lineage: Eukaryota; Viridiplantae; Streptophyta; Magnoliopsida; Fabales; Fabaceae. The record is from RNAcentral.
ACGACCUUACUUGAACAGGAUCUAUUCUAUAGGAUCGUACUACUGUGUCCUUGAGUUUUAAGGAGACAGGAACAAAAAAAAAAUCACUU